UACGAGUGCCUCGAGCGUUAUCCGGAAUCACUGGGCGUAAAGGGUGUGUAGGCGGCUAUGUUAGUCUUCUGUCAAAUUCUUCGGCUUAACCGGGGGUCCGCAGAAGAUACGGCAUAGCUUGAGGAUGCGAGAGGAGUGCGGAACUCUAGGUGUAGGGGUGAAAUCCGUUGAUAUCUAGGGGAACACCAAAAGCGAAGGCAGCACUCUGGCGCAUUUCCUGACGCUGAAACACGAAAGCGUGGGGAGCAAAUGGG
This 254-nucleotide ribosomal RNA is filed under the name uncultured bacterium. Its description in RNAcentral is "partial 16S ribosomal RNA". It matches the Rfam family "Bacterial small subunit ribosomal RNA", at positions 524 to 776 of the family's 1533-position model. The record is from RNAcentral.